RNAcentral lists this ribosomal RNA (497 nucleotides) under uncultured bacterium. RNAcentral describes it as "partial 16S ribosomal RNA". It matches the Rfam family "Bacterial small subunit ribosomal RNA", at positions 28 to 507 of the family's 1533-position model. The record is from RNAcentral.
GAUGAACGCUGGCGGCGUGCCUAAUACAUGCAAGUAGAACGCUGAAGGAAGGAGCUUGCUCUUUCCGGAUGAGUUGCGAACGGGUGAGUAACGCGUAGGUAACCUGCCUGGUAGCGGGGGAUAACUAUUGGAAACGAUAGCUAAUACCGCAUAACAGUAGAUGUUGCAUGAUAUCUACUUAAAAGGUGCAAUUGCACCACUACCAGAUGGACCUGCGUUGUAUUAGCUAGUUGGUGAGGUAACGGCUCACCAAGGCGACGAUACAUAGCCGACCUGAGAGGGUGAUCGGCCACACUGGGACUGAGACACGGCCCAGACUCCUACGGGAGGCAGCAGUAGGGAAUCUUCGGCAAUGGACGGAAGGCUGACCGAGCAACGCCGCGUGAGUGAAGAAGGUUUUCGGAUCGUAAAGCUCUGUUGUAAGAGAAGAGCGAGUGUGAGAGUGGAAAGUUCACACUGUGACGGUAUCUUACCAGAAAGGGACGGCUAACUACGUG